This 253-nucleotide ribosomal RNA is filed under the name uncultured bacterium. RNAcentral's name for it is "partial 16S ribosomal RNA". It matches the Rfam family "Bacterial small subunit ribosomal RNA", at positions 524 to 776 of the family's 1533-position model. The record is from RNAcentral.
UACGAAGGGGGCUAGCGUUGUUCGGAAUCAUUGGGCGUAAAGCGCGCGUAGGCGGCCCUGUAAGUCCGUUGUGAAAGUCAAAGGCUCAACCUUUGAAAGCCGAUGGAUACUGCAGGGCUAGAGUCCGGAAGAGGCGAGUGGAAUUCCUGGUGUAGCGGUGGAAUGCGCAGAUAUCAGGAGGAACACCAAUAGCGAAGGCAGCUCGCUGGGACGGUACUGACGCUAAGGCGCGAAAGCGUGGGGAGCGAACAGG